AUACGGAGGACGCGAGCGUUAUCCGGGUUCAUUGGGUUUAAAGGGUGCGCAGGCGGCCGUGCAAGUCAGCGGUGAAAGCCCGGGGCCCAACCCCGGAAGUGCCGUUGAUACUGCAUGGCUUGAAUGCGGUCGAGGCGGGCGGAACGUGGCGUGUAGCGGGGAAAUGCGUAGAUAUGCCACAGAACGCCGAUAGCGGAGGCAGCUCGCCAGGCCUGCAUUGACGCUCGGGCACGAAAGCGUGGGGAUCGAACAGGAUUAGAUACCCUGGUAGUCCACGCCGUAAACGAUGGGCGCUCGUCGUCGGCGACAGACAGUCGGCGGCCAAGCGAAAGCGAUAAGCGCCCCACCUGGGGAGUACGGUCGCAAGGCUGAAACUCAAAUGAAUUGACGGGG
This 393-nucleotide ribosomal RNA is filed under the name uncultured bacterium. Its description in RNAcentral is "partial 16S ribosomal RNA". It matches the Rfam family "Bacterial small subunit ribosomal RNA", at positions 523 to 918 of the family's 1533-position model. The record is from RNAcentral.